CAGCGAUAACAGGAGCGGUGGUCUGCUCAACAUUGGAACAACCCUGCUGCUGGAACUUUAUGACGAUUUUAAAGGUGUCAUCACCACGAAGGGCAAUACUGUCGCAAUUAACAAGAUGACUGAUGUGAAUCUGUGACUUGGAGAUGUCUUGAAUUAGACAUAAAUACGAACAAUGCAUUGUCAGCGCAGGACUUUGACCAACUUAAUCUUUGGUGUUCUCUUCGUAAAUGUUAUCAAACUUUCAUCCCCUCUACAAGUUUCUUCAGUGGUCUGUAACUGCAGCAGCAUUACUUCAUGUUAUGGACAUUGUGUCACAUCCCAAGAAAUAGGUGAAUUAGAUUGCUUUGGUAAACGUAUAAACCCAAGAAUCAAAUGGAAAUGUGUUUGGACAAAUGGAAAACUCACUGUCAACAAAAUGUACAGAUACACACUGGUUAUAGAACAAAAAAAAUACUGCCAAAUAUAUCCAAACAUAUCAGGAACAUCGAUGGACCUUCGAAUCGUAAACGAACGUUACAACAUCACAGCUCGUUUGUUUGACGAGAGUUAUCCGCACAGCUGCAAAGAGACUGUUUUCAGAGGUUUUCCUCCAGAAUUGGUUCGAUGUGGCCCCCCAUUAAGUGUAGACUUUAAACGCCAUUCAAGACAGCUGGACAUCUUGCCAUCCUGGGGAAUGGAGAAGAGGUAUAUCCAGUCUUACACAGUGAGAUACAAAGAACUGAAGGGACCGUCGUGGGCAGAGCCAACAGUGUAUUCACAGGAUAUAAAUAAAUUAACUGUGAGAAAUCUUAGCUCUUCGAUGACAUAUGAGGUGCAGCUUCGGGUUCUGGAGAACCAAAGAUGCACCCAGGUGCCCUGGAGCAAGAGUUUCCUUGUCCAACCAGAACUUACAGAUGAGCCUGUCAUUAAGAUGGUUAAAGAUAUUUCAAAAAUGAAAGGGAAGAGAUUGGUGACCAUCAAAUGGAAGUUUGCAGCCAGUGAAGUAUCUGAAGGCUACAGGGUGACUGUGAAGAAGUCAGGAGGGGAGACCACUGAGACCUUUAACACAAGCCACCCCUUACUCACGCUGAUCCUGUCUCACUCAGCCUACCAAUUUGAGAUAAUUGCUAUCAGCAAGGUUGGAACUUCGCCUGCUGCACAAAGGACUAUACCUCCAUUUUACGACAAAGGCUUAAACGGGAAGCUGAAGGUGACAUUUAAUGGCAAUACGUCCUUUAAUGUCUCAUGGGUCGAUGACCUAAUCAAAAACUACUCCUGCUUCGCAGUGGAGUGGUGGGGGAAUAAAGAGAAAGCUGCUCACAAAUCAUUUUAUGAGGAUGAGAAGAUAUAUAAAGUCAUACUAUUGGAUGAGCCAUUGCAGCAGUAUACAAGGUAUACCUUCACCCUGCACACAAGGCUAGACAAAGAUGUCUGCAACCUAAAAUCCAUCAACAACAGUGAGAGCACCUACGGGAGCAUUCAAGCCUACUUCAAAGAAGGAAUUCCCAUCAGUGCUCCAGGGAACAUCAGCAGCAAUGUUACCCAGAGUUCCAUGGUGCUAGAGUGGAUAGCUGUCCCUGAGGAGGACACCAGAGGUUUUCUUCUUGGCUACAUUCUCUACUACAGAGAGAAUCCACAGGAUGGGACAGAAACUGAGACAAACAUUACUAUAGAUGCUGGUUCAAUGAGCUACGAGUUGGUUGACCUGAAGAGCAGCACUGUGUACAAGGUCCAGUUGUCUGCCUUCACUGGUGCAGGAAUGGGAGUGAGAAGCUCAGCUGCAUACUUUGAAACCAAGCCAAAAGAUUGGCUUUUUAAUCCGUCAUGUAAAGUUUGAAAUUAAACUGAAAUAUCCUUCAUUUGGAAUACUAUUUUGUAAUGAUUUACAUUACCUGUCCUUUGUGCUUUCCCUCCCAGCAUACUUUACUGCAAAUGGUGUGAUAGCAGGGGUUGUUGCUGGAGUACCUAUACUCUUACUUUUGGUUCAUCUUUCUUCUAUGUUGUUUAAAAGGGCAAAGAAACUACCUUGGCCAAUUAUCCCUAAUCCUGAUAACAGCAAUGCCAUCCAGAAAUUAGAUGGGGUCUGUGAGCUGAAACUCCUGGACCCCAAUAACAGCCAGACGUUAGAAGAAGAGGAGGGAGACUCUAAAAGUCUGUGCAUCAUUGAUAGAAAUGAAGAAAUAUCUUCCAUUAGCAACAUCUACAGCAACAAUGACAUGUGUCCACAGUUGAACACAGACCAAACGGGGGCCCAAGGGCCUUCUACAUCCACCACAGACUCCCCCAAGCCAAGUUCAGUAGAUCUUCAAACUGACACCGCCACUGCCUGUAAAGCAGCAGGUCCCACUUCCGACAUGGAUGCACGUACUAGCACAGACAUGACACAGACCGCCAUGGCUCCAAACAGCACGGUGGCCCACAAGUGCCCCCCCUUGGCCUUUCUGAGCGAUUACACCACCAUGGAACUCUUCCAACAGACCAUGCCUCAGGGCAUUUCUGCCACAUGUUCAUCAUUGACUCAGGGUCCAUCGAGCCAGUCAACAGACACAGACUCAACUCUGACUCCACUAGAGUUGCAUUAUAUCUGCCCGUCCCUCAGUCAAACUGCCAUCCAACCAUCCCACGGCAGCGCCAGUGAAACUCAGAACGCAGAGGAAUGUUACACAGUCCUUUGAUUUUUACCAGUCAUUCAAAGUAGUUGAUGUAAAACUAUUAUAAACUGUAUGUAAAGAACCAUCUCACUACAUCCUAUUAUAAACUGUAUGUAAAGAAACAUCUCACUGCAUCCUAUUAUAAACUGUAUGUAAAGAACCGUCUCACUGCAUCCUAUUAUAAACUGUAUGUAAAGAACCAUCUCACUGCAUCCUAUUAUAAACUGUAUGUAAAGAACCAUCUCACUGCAUCCUAUUAUAAACUGUAUGUAAAGAACCAUCUCAC
This is a long non-coding RNA of Esox lucius (northern pike), 2916 nucleotides long. The record is from Ensembl. NCBI's taxonomy places the organism in Eukaryota, Metazoa, Chordata, Actinopteri, Esociformes, Esocidae.